This 276-nucleotide long non-coding RNA is filed under the name Elaeis guineensis (African oil palm). RNAcentral's name for it is "long non-coding RNA (EGUI_LNC080703)". The record is from RNAcentral. Lineage: Eukaryota; Viridiplantae; Streptophyta; Magnoliopsida; Arecales; Arecaceae.
GGGUUGCUUUCUUUGGAAAACAGUGGCUCUAAUAUAGCAACCACUUUCACCACUCCUAUUUUUAUGAUUUCCUUCUGUAAUAGCAUAAUGGAAACUACAUAGUUGUCAUACCAAGAUCAGUGUGAUGCUGAUUGCAUAAGGUCCCAGCAUAAUGUCUCUCCGAGCAUGCUAUAAUGCUUGUUUCCACUCUUUCCAUUCUACCCUAAUAUGUCAUGGAAUUUGCUAGCAAAGUCUUAUCUGGAAGUGGUAGAUAAGAGCAGUAACAAGCCAAGUGGC